GACAGAGGGUGCAAACGUUGUUCGGAUUUACUGGGCGUAAAGCGCGUGUAGGCGGCUUGGCAAGUCGGAUGUGAAAGCCCACGGCUCAACCGUGGAAGCGCAUCCGAAACGGCCUCGCUCGAGUCUCGGAGAGGAAGGUGGAAUGCUUGGUGUAGAGGUGAAAUUCGUAGAUAUCAAGCAGAACACCUGCGGCGAAGGCGGCCUUCUGGACGAUGACUGACGCUGAGGCGCGAAAGCCAGGGGAGCAAACAGG
Molecule: ribosomal RNA, 253 nt
Filed under: uncultured bacterium
Lineage: Bacteria
Description: partial 16S ribosomal RNA
Rfam family: Bacterial small subunit ribosomal RNA
Source: RNAcentral